UAGAUGUCUUAUUUGAGACCUCUUCUCUUAAUCCUUCAAUUGUGGCCUCAAGCUGUAAAACUUCAAUAGCUGGAAGGGCAUUCAAAAAUCUGGCAAUCCAUGCCCAACCUUCUUCAAUUCCAUGCAGGUUACGGAAACCCUCAACUUCAGUCUAAAAAAAGACAAUAAUUUUCCUGUCACUUGUGAUCCUUCAAACUAGAAAAGAGCAUGGAGUAACUUCUUCUUUUUUUACAGGUAGAAUGUACAAUAACUUAAUCUUAUAAGACUAGCUAUUUGUUUUCCAUGGCUGCUAAAAUCCUGCACAACACACAAAUCGUCAGUUACUGAUCAUGAUAUAAUCCCUCGUGUUAAAAUACAUAUUUACGUAGGUAGUUUACAAUACAAAAUGAAGAUCAAAUGAAAAUAACCACUACGUAGGUAGUUUACGUUAAAAUACAUAUUUACGUAGGUAGUUUACAUGACAAAAUGAGUCCCGAAUCAUAUUUU
This 486-nucleotide long non-coding RNA is filed under the name Panax ginseng (ginseng). RNAcentral describes it as "long non-coding RNA (PGIN_LNC005063)". Lineage: Eukaryota; Viridiplantae; Streptophyta; Magnoliopsida; Apiales; Araliaceae. The record is from RNAcentral.